This 101-nucleotide transfer RNA is filed under the name Apiotrichum porosum. RNAcentral's name for it is "tRNA-Val". It matches the Rfam family "tRNA". From Rfam's summary of the family: Transfer RNA (tRNA) molecules are approximately 80 nucleotides in length. Their secondary structure includes four short double-helical elements and three loops (D, anti-codon, and T loops). The record is from RNAcentral. Lineage: Eukaryota; Fungi; Basidiomycota; Tremellomycetes; Trichosporonales; Trichosporonaceae.
GGCGAUUUAGCUCAGUUGGUUAGAGCGUGUGCUUAACACUAGGACUGUUCAACAGUCAAGCGUUGCGCACAAGGUCGGCGGUUCGACCCCGUCAAACGUCA